AGGGGCUUGAAUCCGACACUGGACCAUGGAGAACUAAGAGUGUCAGCAGUACUGAAUCCUAUUUGUCUAAUGAUGAUCCUUGUGAAUCUUUGCAAUCUGCAUCAUGUAUCAGCCAUGCAACUGCCUUUUAUUCUUCCAUUGUUGCUUCUGGAAAUGCAAUUCCAGGUUCAUACAAUGAGAAAAUUCUUCCUAGCAAAUACACAAAUGACUCCACACAACCCCUGGAGGAGGAAACUCCUGAAGUGAACAACUCUUCGGGAAUCAUGAAUGAUCCUACUGUAAAUGGUUAUGGACCUGCAGAGAAAUUAGAUCAUGACAUCAAUAGAUUUUGUAAUAUCCAUUUCAUUGUAUUUCAGUGGCUGCAUUGUCAAUAAUAAGAAC
This 381-nucleotide long non-coding RNA is filed under the name Arachis ipaensis. RNAcentral describes it as "long non-coding RNA (AIPA_LNC000201)". Lineage: Eukaryota; Viridiplantae; Streptophyta; Magnoliopsida; Fabales; Fabaceae. The record is from RNAcentral.